UCGAAAAAAAAAAAAAAUUAUCGAUUAAAUUUAAAAUCGAAUAAAAGCUUAAAAUUUAUAUAUAAUAUAUUUAGUAAUUGUUUAUUACAUAUAUAUAUAAUAUAAUUUUAAGUUUUUUUCGAAAUUGACCGACUUUUGCUUUAAUUAUUUAAUAUAUGUUCAGUUGAUUUUUAUUCUUACCCCUGCAUGCUUUAAUAUAUAUAUAUAUAUAUAUAUGUUAUAGAGAAAAACAAAAUUAUAUACGUGUAUAUAUAUCCAUACGUGACUUAUUAAUCUAAAUUUCUUUUUUUUUUUUACUUAUUCUUUAUUUUUUUUUUUUUAUUACUCUUUAUACGAUCCUUAGUAUGUACACUGAUUUUUUAAAAAUGAUGAAACAUGUAUUGCUAUCUAUAGUGUUGUUGUUAGGGCAAUGUUCCAUGUUUUCUUCAGUAUUUGCUGAUACGCCCGCAGAAGAAGUUAACAAAUUAAAUGGUUUAUUUGCAGAAGAUGAUCCAGCUAAAAAAGAUGUAUUAGAUUUAAUAAAUGGUAUAUUCGAAGGUAACAAGGGAGCAGUGCCAUACUCUGUUGAAAAUGAACAACAUAAAUGUGCUUUAACUAAAUUGGAUAUUAUUUUUAAAAAUAAAUCUAAAGCUAUGGAAGCAUUGUUCGAUAAAAAAAAUGAAGAAUUAUUAAAAGAGGCUAUAUCAAUAUAUAAUUUAAAAUUUAACGUUACUUUACAAACUGCAGGCUUCAAUAAUUUAAUCGCACCGAAUGCAAAAAAAAACUUCCGACACACUUUCGCAUAUUUUAUUAAUAAUUUAAGAAGAUCUUUUUUCCAUGUAAAGUGUCAUGGAAAUGAGAAAGACGUUAGUAAAUUAGAAGGUGCUGGCAAUGAAGACACUAUUGAAGAAGAUAAUGAACUUAAUAGCGCUAAUCUAUUAGAGCCAAAAUAUACUGAUGAUUUACCAGAUAUGGAAAGUAUAAUGGACAGUGAGAAUGACUUUUCUGAAGAAACGAAAGAUAGUAAAAAACUAGAUGAAAACAUGAUAGCUGAUUUAAAAGAUUUAAACAGUAUGCUCAGUUAUAUGUAUUCAACACAAAGUGUUUCUGGACUGCUAAACAACAAUGAAGUAUUAUUUGAAAAAGAAGAACACCUUGUUAACGGAUGUGAAGAUAAUGAAGAAUGUCGUGCAAAUUAUGAUAAUCUUACUAUAGAUCAAUGUAUAGAUAUACUAUUAAAAAAUACCGUCAUAGAUAUUGAUGGAUUUUGUACAGAUAAACAAACAAAAGCUACCAAUGAAAACGAAAAUGCUAACAUAAUUACAGAAGAUUCUAAAACUUUA
This 1322-nucleotide long non-coding RNA is filed under the name Piliocolobus tephrosceles (Ugandan red Colobus). Its description in RNAcentral is "lncRNA (ENSPTEG00000009543.1)". The record is from RNAcentral. Lineage: Eukaryota; Metazoa; Chordata; Mammalia; Primates; Cercopithecidae.